AGAAGAGUAAAAAGACCAGCUAAUUAAAUGAGAUCAGUUGUUAUCGAUGAUUAUCACCGAUUACGAACCUGGUUGGAACAAAAACCUGCAACCACAGGAGGCCCCAGGACCGAGUUUGGGAACCACUGCUCUAGAACAUCUCCGGAGAGACCUGAAGAUGGCGGUUUACAGACAGUUCCCAUCAAACCUAAUGGAGCCUGAGAAGGUCUGCCAGGAAAAAGGGAAUAAACUGCCCCAAUCCAGGUGUGCAAAGCCUAUAGAGACUUACCCAAGAAGACUCGACGCUGUGACUGCUGCCAAACGGGCUUCUACAGUGUACUGAAUUUCAGAUUAGUCUGACGAUGGAUGGGUCCUCACUGUGUAUGCUGCCUAAGAGUGGUGUGUCACUUACCCCCCUAAACCCCCACCUAGCAGCUGUGCUCCCAGAGAUGGUAAUGUCAGGUUCUACCCCUCCUCGGC
Molecule: long non-coding RNA, 459 nt
Organism: Polypterus senegalus (gray bichir)
Lineage: Eukaryota; Metazoa; Chordata; Cladistia; Polypteriformes; Polypteridae
Exons: 3
Source: RefSeq, a predicted model, not a curated record